Molecule: ribosomal RNA, 492 nt
Filed under: uncultured bacterium
Lineage: Bacteria
Description: partial 16S ribosomal RNA
Rfam family: Bacterial small subunit ribosomal RNA
Source: RNAcentral
AGUGAACGCUGGCGGUAGGCCUAACACAUGCAAGUCGAACGGCAGCACAGUAAGAGCUUGCUCUUACGGGUGGCGAGUGGCGGACGGGUGAGGAAUACAUCGGAAUCUACUUUUUCGUGGGGGAUAACGUAGGGAAACUUACGCUAAUACCGCAUACGACCUACGGGUGAAAGCAGGGGAUCUUCGGACCUUGCGCGAUUGAAUGAGCCGAUGUCGGAUUAGCUAGUUGGCGGGGUAAAGGCCCACCAAGGCGACGAUCCGUAGCUGGUCUGAGAGGAUGAUCAGCCACACUUGAACCGAGACACGGUCCAGACUCCUACGGGAGGCAGCAGUGGGGAAUAUUGGACAAUGGGCGCAAGCCUGAUCCAGCCAUACCGCGUGGGUGAAGAAGGCCUUCGGGUUUUAAAGCCCUUUUGUUGGGAAAGAAAAGCAGCAGGUUAAUACCCCGCUGUUCUGACGGUACCCAAAGAAUAAGCACCGGCUAACUUCGUG